AUUAUAUUUAUGCUUUGCUUGGAGUGAAGAAAAGUUUUGGGAACCAGACCCAAGAAUUUUAAAUUGCCUUAAAAAAACACAAGAAAUACAUCUUUCUCCUAACUUUCAGACCUGUGGUCCAGGAAUGAGGGAAUAGUUGCCAGGAUUAUUAAAGAAACUCUGUGUUAAACAGUGGAAAGAUGUCAGGUUGUGGGUUUCUCUGCCACGGGAGCUUUUAGAGACCAACGUUGUCUGGAUUUGAUGACAGCACGCAGUGGCUGCACUGGCACUAAGUGAGGGCACUAUAGGGACGUGCGGGGGUCCCAACUGGCUGAAGAUGAGCUUUGCCCAUGCUGUCAUCGGGAGCUCCAUCAAGUGUGGUUACUCCAGGGACGUACUGGAAAGCACAGAUGUGUUCUGGCCAGAGGACCACACCUGCGUGCAGGGGCACGGGCGUCCCUUUCUGUUCUUAAAGACAUCUGCCUUGGUCAUACCAGAAUUCAGGCUCAGAGUAGGAUUGAAUGGCUCCAACUACUUUGAAGUUCGGCAUGGUCCUACAGCUUUUUUGACCAAUAGAAUACAGAAGUGGUAGGUGUCACUUCUGGGCAGGAGCUUCAAGAGAAGGGCGAGCUUCACCACGUUCCCCUCCCCGUGCUGUGGGGAAUGUGGAAGAAGGUGCACAGGGGAGCCGCCACCGCCCUGAGUCCCUGCAUGUCUGCAACCGGCAGAUCCCUUCCCAUGCCCAACAGACAUUCAAUGGGAUCAAGAAGUAAACUCUUGUUGUUUU
Molecule: long non-coding RNA, 766 nt
Filed under: Equus caballus (horse)
Lineage: Eukaryota; Metazoa; Chordata; Mammalia; Perissodactyla; Equidae
Description: lncRNA (ENSECAG00000057637.1)
Source: RNAcentral